This 568-nucleotide ribosomal RNA is filed under the name uncultured alpha proteobacterium NAC60-9. RNAcentral describes it as "bacterial SSU rRNA". It matches the Rfam family "Bacterial small subunit ribosomal RNA", at positions 33 to 656 of the family's 1533-position model. The record is from RNAcentral. Lineage: Bacteria; Pseudomonadati; Pseudomonadota; Alphaproteobacteria.
ACGCUGGCGGCAGGCCUACACAUGCAAGUCGAACGACAUAGUGGCAGACGGGUGAGUAACGCGUGGGAACGUACCUUUCGCUACGGAAUAGCUCUGGGAAACUGGUGGUAAUACCGUAUACGCCCUUCGGGGGAAAGAUUUAUCGGCGAAAGAUCGGCCCGCGUUAGAUUAGGUAGUUGGUGGGGUAAUGGCCUACCAAGCCUACGAUCUAUAGCUGGUCUGAGAGGAUGAUCAGCCACACUGGGACUGAGACACGGCCCAGACUCCUACGGGAGGCAGCAGUGGGGAAUCUUGCACAAUGGGCGAAAGCCUGAUGCAGCCAUGCCGCGUGAAUGAUGAAGGCCUUAGGGUUGUAAAAUUCUUUCGCCAGGGAUGAUAAUGACAGUACCUGGUAAAGAAGCCCCGGCUAACUUCGUGCCAGCAGCCGCGGUAAUACGAAGGGGGCUAGCCGUUGUUCGGAAUUACUGGGCGUAAAGCGCACGUAGGCGGACUUUUAAGUCAGAUGUGAAAUCCCGGGGCUCAACCUCGGNACUUGCAUUUGAAACUGGAAGUCUGGAGUUUCAGGGAG